CCCUUAGAUGUCCGGGGCCGCACGCGCGCUACACUGAAGGAAUCAGCGUGGCUUUCUCCCUGACCCGAAAGGGUUGGGAAACCCGUUGAAUCUCCUUCGUGAUAGGGAUUGGGGCUUGAAAUUGUUCCCCAUGAACGAGGAAUUCCCAGUAAGCGCGAGUCAUAAGCUCGCGUUGAUUACGUCCCUGCCCUUUGUACACACCGCCCGUCGCUACUACCGAUUGAACGGUUUAGUGAGGGCCUCGGAUUGGUCUCGGCCCGCUCUUUACCGGGCGGCGCCGUUGGUCGAGAAGACGCACGAACUUGAUCGUUUAGAGGAAGUAAAAGUCGUAACA
This 334-nucleotide ribosomal RNA is filed under the name uncultured eukaryote. RNAcentral describes it as "partial 18S ribosomal RNA". It matches the Rfam family "Eukaryotic small subunit ribosomal RNA", at positions 1470 to 1796 of the family's 1831-position model. The record is from RNAcentral.